CGGAGGGAUCAUUACUGAGUUACCGCUCUAUAACCCUUUGUGAACAUACCUAACCGUUGCUUCGGCGGGCAGGGGAAGCCUCUCGCGGGCCUCCCCUCCCGGCGCCGGCCCCACCACGGGGACGGGGCGCCCGCCGGAGGAAACCAAACUCUAUUUACACGACGUCUCUUCUGAGUGGCACAAGCAAAUAAUUAAAACUUUUAACAACGGAUCUCUUGGUUCUGGCAUCGAUGAAGAACGCAGCGAAAUGCGAUAAGUAAUGUGAAUUGCAGAAUUCAGUGAAUCAUCGAAUCUUUGAACGCACAUUGCGCUCGCCAGCAUUCUGGCGAGCAUGCCUGUUCGAGCGUCAUUUCAACCCUCAAGCACCGCUUGGUUUUGGGGCCCCACGGCACACGUGGGCCCUUAAAGGUAGUGGCGGACCCUCCCGGAGCCUCCUUUGCGUAGUAACUAACGUCUCGCACUGGGAUCCGGAGGGACUCUUGCCGUAAAACCCCCCAAUUUUUUACAGGUUGACCUCGGAUCAGGUAGGAAUACCCGCUGAACUUAAGCAUAUCAAUAAGCGGAGGAAA
RNAcentral lists this ribosomal RNA (569 nucleotides) under Colletotrichum simmondsii. RNAcentral's name for it is "eukaryotic LSU rRNA". The stretch from base 196 to 349 matches the Rfam family "5.8S ribosomal RNA". Lineage: Eukaryota; Fungi; Ascomycota; Sordariomycetes; Glomerellales; Glomerellaceae. The record is from RNAcentral.